RNAcentral lists this transfer RNA (74 nucleotides) under Candidatus Nealsoniibacteriota bacterium. RNAcentral's name for it is "Candidatus Nealsonbacteria bacterium tRNA-Gly". It matches the Rfam family "tRNA". From Rfam's summary of the family: Transfer RNA (tRNA) molecules are approximately 80 nucleotides in length. The record is from RNAcentral. Lineage: Bacteria; Candidatus Nealsoniibacteriota.
GCGAGAGUAGUUUAAUGGGAGAACGUGACCUUCCCAAGGUCAAGGCGGGGGUUCGAUUCCCCUCUCUCGCUCCA